AUUGCUUCUUGAAUAACCGAUUGCAGAUAAUAUCUCGUUUGCAGGCGGUUCAGACAGGGGCAUAGAACAAAUCUGAAGCCCCACGAGGGAAGGGUUGUUUCCGUUGACCCUUUCUCGUUUGGGUUUCAUAGAUUU
Panicum virgatum (switchgrass) is the source of this 135-nucleotide small nucleolar RNA. RefSeq annotates it as small nucleolar RNA snoR138. The transcript has a single exon. The record is from RefSeq and is a predicted model, not a curated record. NCBI's taxonomy places the organism in Eukaryota, Viridiplantae, Streptophyta, Magnoliopsida, Poales, Poaceae.